This 344-nucleotide ribosomal RNA is filed under the name uncultured bacterium. Its description in RNAcentral is "bacterial SSU rRNA". It matches the Rfam family "Bacterial small subunit ribosomal RNA", at positions 28 to 367 of the family's 1533-position model. The record is from RNAcentral.
GACGAACGCUGGCGGCGCGCCUAACACAUGCAAGUCGAACGAGAGAGAGGGAGCUUGCUUCCUUGAUCGAGUGGCGAACGGGUGAGUAACGCGUGAGGAACCUGCCUCGAAGAGGGGGACAACAGUUGGAAACGACUGCUAAUACCGCAUAAGCCCACGACCCGGCAUCGGGUUGAGGGAAAAGGAGCAAUCCGCUUUGAGAUGGCCUCGCGUCCGAUUAGCUAGUUGGUGAGGUAACGGCCCACCAAGGCGACGAUCGGUAGCCGGACUGAGAGGUUGAACGGCCACAUUGGGACUGAGACACGGCCCAGACUCCUACGGGAGGCAGCAGUGGGGAAUAUUGC